This 253-nucleotide ribosomal RNA is filed under the name uncultured bacterium. Its description in RNAcentral is "partial 16S ribosomal RNA". It matches the Rfam family "Bacterial small subunit ribosomal RNA", at positions 524 to 776 of the family's 1533-position model. The record is from RNAcentral.
UACGGAGGAUCCAAGCGUUAUCCGGAUUUAUUGGGUUUAAAGGGUGCGUAGGUGGCCUAUUAAGUCAGGGGCGAAAGACGGUAGCUUAACUAUCGCAGUGCCUUUGAUACUGAUGGGCUUGAAUACAGAUGAAGUGGGCGGAAUGUGACAAGUAGCGGUGAAAUGCAUAGAUAUGUCACAGAACACCGAUUGCGAAGGCAGCUCACUAAAUUGUGAUUGACACUGAGGCACGAAAGCGUGGGGAUCAAACAGG